GAGGACCGGGAUGGACUGACCUCUAGUGUACCAGUUAUGUCGCCAGAUGUACCGCUGGGUAGCUACGUUGGGAAGGGAUAAGCGCUGAAAGCAUCUAAGCACGAAACCUACUCCAAGAUGAGAUUUCCCUGAAGGAUCGUAGAAGACUACUACGUUGAUAGGACUAAGGUGUACGUAUAGUAAUAUACUUAGCCAACAGUUACUAAUAAUCCGUUCGACUUCAUUUA
RNAcentral lists this ribosomal RNA (227 nucleotides) under Bacteroidota bacterium. RNAcentral's name for it is "partial 23S ribosomal RNA". It matches the Rfam family "Bacterial large subunit ribosomal RNA", at positions 2687 to 2925 of the family's 2925-position model. Lineage: Bacteria; Pseudomonadati; Bacteroidota. The record is from RNAcentral.